This 116-nucleotide ribosomal RNA is filed under the name Prolemur simus (greater bamboo lemur). The record is from RNAcentral. Lineage: Eukaryota; Metazoa; Chordata; Mammalia; Primates; Lemuridae.
GUCUACGGCCAUACCACCCUGAACGCGCCCGAUCUCAUCUGACCUCAGAAGCUAAGCAGGGUCGGGCCUGGUUAGGACUUGGAUGGGAGACCAGAAAGAGCUAUGUGGCGCUUACC